This 1975-nucleotide long non-coding RNA is filed under the name Theobroma cacao (cacao). RNAcentral describes it as "long non-coding RNA (TCAC_LNC002027)". The record is from RNAcentral. Lineage: Eukaryota; Viridiplantae; Streptophyta; Magnoliopsida; Malvales; Malvaceae.
UUUUAGAACACUGUAUAAAUAAUUUUUACAGCGUAAAAGCAAAAUAGAUUCAUAUAUAUCGUAAUACAGUAAGCCUGAGUAUUUAAUUUAAUUUACAGUAACAAGUGGGCCAUCGAAUAACCGAAAGUAAGAAAAAUUGUGAACCUACAGUUUGGAGGAUGCAAAUCCAAUGGUGGUCCUCGAUGAAAUCAGCUAUCUAUAGAUUAUCCUGAGCCUGAAAUGGGUGGAAAGGAGGGUGGUGAGAUUAUAUAAUCCCAGUGAGUAAACAUAUACCAUCUAAAAUAUCUAAAGCCGAGUAAAUGGAGACAAAUAAAACAGUUUAACAUACUGUAAUUCAUCACCUUUCAACUUGUUUCAAUCAAAUAAAAUCAAUUCAUAUAAAUCGAGUAAUCAACAUGUCUUAUGAAUUUCUUAAAACUUUGGCUCGUUUCAAAAAUCAUUUUCAUACCCAGUUAUCAAGGAUGCCUUGAUCGAGGGCUAUCCCAACCGCGUCCGCCAAGGCUGUUAAAAAGUUAUGUACGCAUAAAUCAUGUUUUUAUUUUAAAAAUAUAGCUGUUCUUUGGCAUUAGCAAAGUUCAUCAUCACAAGGUGGUUUGGCGUGAAGUGAACUCUAAAGUUAUACCUCGGGAGUUACCCUACUCGCCUCUCCAAUCGAGGUAAAAUAUGACCAGGUUCGUGCCCCUCUAAUAGUCUAGUCCACAGAACCAGCCCACUGCAGCAAGCUAAACCCACCAUACAAUAAAAAACUGCAGCAAGCUAAACCCACCAUACAAUAAAAAUUCAACAGCAUGACAUGGCAAUUUUAUCAUUAUCCAGCCUAUCAAGGCAAACAACAGUUUAUACAUUUCAACACAAAUACCAAUUCAGCCAUUCAUGCCAAUAUUGUCAUAAGCCAAUCGAUUAGAACCAUAAAUUCACAAUACAUCAAAUGGUCUCCAAUUACUCUAUUUGCAAAGCCAUCAUUCAAUUUUAAAACAAUUUUAUGAAAUCAUUUUAUUUAAACCCAUUUUGUUUAUAAAACCUAAAAAUUUACCAUUUAAACUCAUUUUUCAUAAAAUCACAAAAUCGAAUAAAAACCACUCUAGAUAAUUAAGACGAUAGUAAGGUUACUCACUAUUUCGGGAGUCGAAUUCCAAGUACUCCGAUUCUUGAUCCUUGGGUACUAUCUCUUUACUUUUGCCAUAAUGCUCACCACCUAGACAUAAUGCACAAUAAGCCAUUUACUACAUUGUGCUAAAUUGUUAUAAAACCAAUUCAGGCUUUAUACUAAUGUAUGAAAUGAGAUGCAAAUUGUUCAGAUUACUGUCUAAACACGGUAUUCUACACAAAUUCAUUUGGGUCCUUAAUUAAAUCGGUAUUGGCCUAAUUCGAUCUAUCACUCGAUUAAUUGGUCAAUAUGUCUAAUUCAACUCCAAUUAACUCCAUUUUUCUCCCAAUACUCCAAAUCAUUAAACACAAUUUCAAUAACUUGAAAUGUGGCAAAAUCAUCCUCACAUUUUCUCUUGGAAAAUUCAGCCGUGGUGGGUGCAUCGACACCAUGAUUUUUCCUACUUGAUUCUCAUACCACAAAUCACUAAUUCCUAACCAAAUCACUUGAAAUAAAAUUAAAAUCAUCAUCAAUAUUCUACAUGGAGAAUUUGACCAAUGAUGGGUUAUGGGAGAAAAUGAAUUUUUCUUGUUUGAUUUUCAUGCUACACAUCACUAACUAACUAAAAACACUAGAAUAUCUUAAAAUCUAACAAAAACAACCACCAAAUCUUCUCUCUUUAAAUUCAGUUAGCCAUGAAUCCUUCAUGAUAACUUGUCAUUCAACCAUGAAAAAUGCAAAAUAAUGCAUGGAAAAGGUAGAUCCAAAGUCAAAAUCAAGAAAUUUUACCUUUGAUUGGUUGAUUACUUGAAAUCCACAAAAUUUUCUCUUGAAUUUUCACCCUAGGGUUCUUGUUCUUUCUUUUCUUCCUUUAUUCUUCUUUGGCCG